Non-coding RNA from Octopus bimaculoides (California two-spot octopus), 46 nucleotides. NCBI's taxonomy places the organism in Eukaryota, Metazoa, Mollusca, Cephalopoda, Octopoda, Octopodidae. The record is from Rfam.
UUCACGGCCCUUUUAAGGGCCAUUUAUUUUCUGAGAAAGUGUCCCG